GACGUAGGGCGCGAGCGUUGUCCGGAUUUAUUGGGCGUAAAGAGCUCGUAGGCGGCUCGUCGCGUCGACCGUGAAAACCAGCAGCUUAACUGCUGGCUUGCGGUUGAUACGGGCGGGCUAGAGUUCGGUAGGGGAGACUGGAAUUCCUGGUGUAGCGGUGAAAUGCGCAGAUAUCAGGAGGAACACCGGUGGCGAAGGCGGGUCUCUGGGCCGAUACUGACGCUGAGGAGCGAAAGCGUGGGGAUCAAACAGG
RNAcentral lists this ribosomal RNA (253 nucleotides) under uncultured bacterium. RNAcentral describes it as "partial 16S ribosomal RNA". It matches the Rfam family "Bacterial small subunit ribosomal RNA", at positions 524 to 776 of the family's 1533-position model. The record is from RNAcentral.